UGGCUCUCGCAUCGAUGAAGAACGCAGCGAAAUGCGAUAAGUAAUGUGAAUUGCAGAAUUCAGUGAAUCAUCGAAUCUUUGAACGCACCUUGCGCUCCUUGGUAUUCCGAGGAGCAUGCCUGUUUGAGUGUCAUUAAAUUCUCAACCUUCCAGCUUUUAUUAGCUUGGUUAGGCUUGGAUGUGGGGGUUGUGGGCUUCAUUAAUGAGGUCAGCUCUCCUUAAAUGCAUUAGCGGAACUUUUGUGGACCGUCUAUUGGUGUGAUAAUUAUCUACGCCGUGGAUGUGAAGCAGCUUUAUGAAGUUCAGCUUCUAAUCGUCCAUUGACUUGGACAAUUUUUGACAAUUUGACCUCAAAUCAGGUAGGACUACCCGCUGA
Molecule: unclassified non-coding RNA, 376 nt
Filed under: uncultured fungus
Lineage: Eukaryota; Fungi
Description: partial contains 5.8S ribosomal RNA and internal transcribed spacer 2
Rfam family: 5.8S ribosomal RNA (bases 1-133)
Source: RNAcentral